AAGCUUUAUCAGCAAAUUAUAAUACUUGGACACUGAAUACAAAUAGGGUAUUCAUAGCGCACCUUUAGCGUAAGCCGAAUUGAAUUUACUUUAAAAUUUUUUAAUACCAAUUAAAUUAAAAAGUAACUGCUGUCAGAGGCUUUAAGUUCGGCUAUAGCUUAAUAAAGACUCGUUUGUUGUUGUUUUAUUAAUUUGUAUGGUUUACACAAUUUAUAAUAGCGUGUUUGUAGUAUAAUAUGCCCAGUGGUGGAAUUAAUUAUGAGGAGAGAUCUGGGUGACCAUUUAAGUUCAAAAUUCGUUGAAAAUUUUAUGUGCUGUAUGUACCGUAUAAUAUGUAUUGUAUGUACAGUAAGUAGGUACUUAUUUUGUGUACUACUUGUGUACUACUGGCAUAUUUUGAGUUUAUGAGAAUACAAAUUUUGUUUCUGUGAACAGGAUGUCCUGUAAAACAGCUAUAAAAACAAAAUGAAUACCUAUCGCCUUAGAUUACACAAAAUAUUAAUUAUCGUAUAGGUAUCGUGUUGACUAUAAAGAACGUAUAAAACCUCGGCCGUUUUUUUGUUACAUGUUUUAUUUUCCGUAACUGACGCCGCUUCCACCGUUAGUAAAUCGGCCGGUGAUUCUUCUUUAAUCCUGUGUAUCGAUUUUAUAUUUUAAAAAUCAUUUAAUUUUUAAAAUUAAUAAUAAAAUCAAUAAUAAUAAAAAAAAAAACUGAUACAGCUCAUGAGUAAGCCAUUGUUGUAGUUGGGAAGUUGGAAAGGUAGAAUAUAUAUAAUAUAUAGGGUAAUUUAGUUUAAAUCCUAAAUGCAACGAUGAAACAUUGUAAACAAAAUACGACUCUGAGCG
Non-coding RNA from Cinara cedri, 846 nucleotides. NCBI's taxonomy places the organism in Eukaryota, Metazoa, Arthropoda, Insecta, Hemiptera, Aphididae. The record is from the annotation of a GenBank genome assembly.